Molecule: long non-coding RNA, 310 nt
Filed under: Nicotiana benthamiana
Lineage: Eukaryota; Viridiplantae; Streptophyta; Magnoliopsida; Solanales; Solanaceae
Description: long non-coding RNA (NBEN_LNC020479)
Source: RNAcentral
AGGCUGUUAUAUGCUAUAUGAGGUUUCUGGUUUUCCUCAAAUAUCAGGAAUGGAAAUGUUGUAUAAAACUUGUAGUGGUAAAAAUGCUCAAGGGAGUGGAUUUGAAGAGAAAAGAGACACUGCUUUUUCUUCACUGGAAAAUGAGAUGGCUAGUGCUACAAAUGGAUUUUAUACAACUAGUUAUGAGUCUGUUUAUGUUGUAGGACAAUGUGAAGGGGAUGUUUUGGAAAAUGGGAUGGCUAGUGCUACCAAUGGAUUUUACACGACUAGUUAUGAGUCUGUUUAUGUUGUAGGACAAUGUGAAGGGGAU